AGAGUUUGAUCCUGGCUCAGGAUGAACGCUGGCGGCGUGCAUAACACAUUCAAGUCGAACGGAGUCAAUGCCUACGGGGAUUGACUUAGUGGCGGACGGGUGAGUAACGCGUGAGCAACCUGCCUUUCAAGAAGGGAUAACACAGGGAAACUUGUGCUAAUACCGUAUGAGAUAACGACACUGCAUGGUGAUGUUAUUAAAGGAGAGAUCCGAUGAAAGAUGGGCUCGCGUCCGAUUAGG
Molecule: ribosomal RNA, 240 nt
Filed under: uncultured bacterium
Lineage: Bacteria
Description: partial 16S ribosomal RNA
Rfam family: Bacterial small subunit ribosomal RNA
Source: RNAcentral